This 497-nucleotide ribosomal RNA is filed under the name uncultured bacterium. RNAcentral's name for it is "partial 16S ribosomal RNA". It matches the Rfam family "Bacterial small subunit ribosomal RNA", at positions 28 to 507 of the family's 1533-position model. The record is from RNAcentral.
GAUGAACGCUGGCGGCGUGCCUAAUACAUGCAAGUCGAGCGAACGGACGAGAAGCUUGCUUCUCUGACGUUAGCGGCGGACGGGUGAGUAACACGUGGAUAACCUACCUAUAAGACUGGGAUAACUUCGGGAAACCGGAGCUAAUACCGGAUAAUAUUUUGAACCGCAUGGUUCAAAAGUGAAAGACGGUCUUGCUGUCACUUAUAGAUGGAUCCGCGCUGCAUUAGCUAGUUGGUAAGGUAACGGCUUACCAAGGCAACGAUGCAUAGCCGACCUGAGAGGGUGGUCGGCCACCUUGGAACUGAGACACGGUCCAGACUCCUACGGGAGGCAGCAGUAGGGAAUCUUCCGCAAUGGGCGAGAGCCUGACGGAGCAACGCCGCGUGAGUGAUGAAGGUCUUCGGAUUGUAAAACUCUGUUAUUAGGGAAGAACAUAUGUGUAAGUAACUGUGCACAUCUUGACGGUACCUGAUCAGAAAGCCACGGCUAACUACGUG